AUGGGAGUGUGAGUGCGUCCUACUCCAGCUCGAACCGAGUCGAGGCUAGACCGAGUCGAUCUGGGCAUCCAGCUGCUACUGCUAGACCUCCAGCAGAGGGAAAGGCAGGGAGUGAAGAAGGAAGGAAGGAUAGAAGGAGGAGAAGAUUUGUGAGAGAGAGGAAAAGUGAGUGAGUGCAAGCUGCACUAGCUGCCGGGUUGACUCAACCGAGUCGGCUCAGUUUGAGUGUAAUCGAGGCUGGCGUCAUUUGAUGCAGCAGCACCUGCAAACCUUGUUGGAGAGGCUUUGAUCCUGUUUAGUGCCCGAGAAGCUCGACCUCAUAUCAAGUGGUAUCAAGCCGUGUAGCCAUGGUAGCACAGGUGGCUUAAGUGAUAUGCAAGUUCAGACUGAUGAGGAGUCGUUAUAGUGGUCAAGGACACGUGGUUGUACCUAUCAAGGAAGUUGCGCGAUCUUUCGGCUUUCGUUUGUGUUUCAUAUGCUUUUAAAUUUCUCAUGUGUGUAAUCUUGUAUUUGUUAUUGUGGAGACAUUGGUUUGUAUAAGUCAUUAUGGGCAACCUCUUGUAUAUUCUAAAUGUAAUUGCAAAUUUUCCUUUAUGCUUAUUU
Molecule: long non-coding RNA, 603 nt
Organism: Magnolia sinica
Lineage: Eukaryota; Viridiplantae; Streptophyta; Magnoliopsida; Magnoliales; Magnoliaceae
Exons: 2
Source: RefSeq, a predicted model, not a curated record